Molecule: ribosomal RNA, 254 nt
Filed under: uncultured bacterium
Lineage: Bacteria
Description: partial 16S ribosomal RNA
Rfam family: Bacterial small subunit ribosomal RNA
Source: RNAcentral
UACAGAGGGUGCGAGCGUUGUCCGGAAUCACUGGGCGUAAAGGGCGCGUAGGUGGUGGCUUAAGCGUGCGGUGAAAGCUCGGGGCUCAACUCCGAGUCGGCCGUGCGAACUGGGCUCACUGGAGCAUAGUAGAGGCAGGUGGAAUUCCGGGUGUAGCGGUGGAAUGCGUAGAGAUCCGGAAGAACACCGGUGGCGAAGGCGGCCUGCUGGGCAGUGGCUGACGCUGAGGCGCGACAGCGUGGGGAGCAAACAGG